RNAcentral lists this ribosomal RNA (497 nucleotides) under uncultured bacterium. Its description in RNAcentral is "partial 16S ribosomal RNA". It matches the Rfam family "Bacterial small subunit ribosomal RNA", at positions 28 to 507 of the family's 1533-position model. The record is from RNAcentral.
GAUGAACGCUGGCGGCGUGCCUAAUACAUGCAAGUCGAGCGAACAGACGCGGAGCUUGCUCCUCUGUCGUUAGCGGCGGACGGGUGAGUCACACGUGUAUACCCUACCUAUAAUACUGGGAUAACUUCGGGACACCGGAUCUAAUACCGGAGAAUAUAUUGAACCGCAUGGUUCAAUGGUGAAAUACGGUUUUGCUGUCACUUAUAGCUGCAUACCCGCCGCUUUAGCUAGUUGGUAAGUUAACGGCUUACCAAGGCGACGAUGCGUGAACGACGGGUCAGGGUGAUCGCCCACACUGGAGGUUGGACACGGUCAAGAGUCCUGCGGGAGGCAGCAGUAGGGAAUCGGCCGCAAUGGGCGAAAGCCUGACGGAGCAAGGCCGCGUGAGUGAUGAAGGUGUUCGGAGCGUAAAACUCGGUUAUGAGGGAAGAACAAAUGUGGAAGUAACUAUGCACGUCGUGACGGUACCUGGUCAGAAAGCCACGGCUAACUACGUG